UGGAGUGGGGACCCUCACCCUAUCCUGCCCUCUUUGCGGCAGCCCCUGGGCUUCUGAGGGACACGAAUUAAAAAAGAAACCGGCUGAGGGACGCCUGGCUGGGGAGAAAAUCAAGAAAACAAUGCUGAUCGCGCAGUUUUUAUGGAAAAUCGUUUCAUCACACGGAGAAUAGGAACGUGAAAAGUUAUCUACUCCAGGUGUCAAGCAUGCUGGCCGAACUUUCACUGCGAGCCAUCAGACUGACCCCACUCCACAGACGGGAACCGCAUCCUGCUGGAACCUAGAGAAGCCGGUGUGAUCUGGCCAAGGGGCCAGCUCUUAGUCCACAGCGGUGAACCUUUAGAUCCAGUUGAUGUCCCAGCAACUUCCGUUCUCUCCUUGGAAUACCAGCCAGCAAGAAAAAGGAAAGAACUGAUAGACACAACAAGCAGUGGUCUGGCCUGCUGGGCCACGAGCAGACGUCUACUAAAGAAAGGUCACCAUUCUUUGCCA
Long non-coding RNA from Prionailurus viverrinus (fishing cat), 492 nucleotides. RefSeq lists it as uncharacterized. The record is from RefSeq and is a predicted model, not a curated record. The transcript is spliced from 4 exons. NCBI's taxonomy places the organism in Eukaryota, Metazoa, Chordata, Mammalia, Carnivora, Felidae.